UCGAGGGGUAUGGCAGCAAUGCCAGAGACCGGCGCACGGGUGCGUAACGCGUAUGCAAUCUGCCUUUCACAGAGGGAUAGCCCAGAGAAAUUUGGAUUAAUACCUCAUAGCAUAAUGAGUUGGCAUCAACACAUUAUUAAAGUCACAACGGUGAAAGAUGAGCAUGCGUCCCAUUAGCUAGUUGGUAAGGUAACGGCUUACCAAGGCGACGAUGGGUAGGGGUCCUGAGAGGGAGAUCCCCCACACUGGUACUGAGACACGGACCAGACUCCUACGGGAGGCAGCAGUGAGGAAUAUUGGUCAAUGGGCGCAAGCCUGAACCAGCCAUGCCGCGUGCAGGAUGACGGUCCUAUGGAUUGUAAACUGCUUUUGUACGGGAAGAAACAGCGAUUCGUGAAUCGCCUUGACGGUACCGUAAGAAUAAGGAUCGGCUAACUCCGUGCCAGCAGCCGCGGUAAUACGGAGGAUCCAAGCGUUAUCCGGAAUCAUUGGGUUUAAAGGGUCCGUAGGCGGUUUUGUAAGUCAGUGGUGAAAGCCCAUCGCUCAACGGUGGAACGGCCAUUGAUACUGCAAGACUUGAAUUAUUAGGAAGUAACUAGAAUAUGUAGUGUAGCGGUGAAAUGCUUAGAGACUACAUGGAAUACCAAUUGCGAAGGCAGGUUACUACUAAUGGAUUGACGCUGAUGGACGAAAGCGUGGGUAGCGAACAGGAUUAGAUACCCUGGUAGUCCACGCCGUAAACGAUGGAUACUAGCUGUUGGGAGCGAUCUCAGUGGCUAAGCGAAAGUGAUAAGUAUC
RNAcentral lists this ribosomal RNA (798 nucleotides) under uncultured Bacteroidota bacterium. RNAcentral's name for it is "bacterial SSU rRNA". It matches the Rfam family "Bacterial small subunit ribosomal RNA", at positions 62 to 868 of the family's 1533-position model. Lineage: Bacteria; Pseudomonadati; Bacteroidota. The record is from RNAcentral.